Molecule: ribosomal RNA, 800 nt
Filed under: uncultured bacterium
Lineage: Bacteria
Description: bacterial SSU rRNA
Rfam family: Bacterial small subunit ribosomal RNA
Source: RNAcentral
AGAGUUUGAUCAUGGCUCAGAUUGAACGCUGGCGGUAUGCUUAACACAUGCAAGUCGGACGGCAGCAUGAUGUGUAGCAAUACACAUUGAUGGCGAGUGGCGGACGGGUGAGAAACGCGUAGGAAUCUGCCUUAUAGAGGGGGACAACUAGAGGAAACUCUAGCUAAUACCGCAUAAAGUCUACGGACCAAAUGCUGGGUAGCAAUACCUGGCGCUAUGAGAGGAGCCUGCGUCCGAUUAGCUAGUUGGUGGGGUAAAGGCCUACCAAGGCGAUGAUCGGUAGCUGGUCUGAGAGGAUGAUCAGCCACACUGGGACUGAGACACGGCCCAGACUCCUACGGGAGGCAGCAGUGGGGAAUAUUGGACAAUGGGGGCAACCCUGAUCCAGCAAUACCGCGUGUGUGAAGAAGGCCUUCGGGUUGUAAAGCACUUUAGGUUGGGAAGAAGGUGUAUUGUUUAAGAGAUGAUACAUUUGACUGUACCGACAGAAUAAGCACCGGCUAACUCUGUGCCAGCAGCCGCGGUAAUACAGAGGGUGCAAGCGUUAAUCGGAGUUACUGGGCGUAAAGGGCGCGUAGGCGGUUUAUUAAGUGAGAUGUGAAAGCCCUGGGCUUAACCUAGGAACUGCAUCUUAAACUGGUAGACUGGAGUACUGUAGAGGGUAGUGGAAUUUCCGGUGUAGCGGUGAAAUGCGUAGAGAUCGGAAGGAACACCAGUGGCGAAGGCGGCUACCUGGACAGAUACUGACGCUGAGGCGCGAGAGCGUGGGGAGCAAACAGGAUUAGAUACCCUAGUAGUCC